GCGGUAGAAAUGCACAUCAUUAGUGGGUCAUCAGUGGUCUAUAUUGACCCGUCAUUGGCAGAUGUACCGGUGUGACCAUUUCCCAACCCAAGCAGCAAAUAUUUGUAGAAGCCUUUGGCAAAUUCUUUGCAUGUGGAUGACGCAGAUGUACUAGCUUGUGACUCGGAAAAGAGCAGGUUAACGCCUGUCCCCUGGGCAGAGACAUGAGGAGGACUGAUGGCAGGAGAUGUAAUGUAGGGUGACAGGUUGCCUGGCUUGUCUGAAGAGGACCAGAUCAGGACCUUGCAUUCUUUCAACUUUGAUUUUACCUCAGUUGAAUCGCAUUAUUUGCAAUCUUUACGGCUGGUUGAGAAGGAAGGAGAAGCUGGCCACAUUUACCAGUGGUAUUGCCCUCUCUGGUGGAGACUUGCAUCAGCUUUUUUUUUUCCAUUGUGCAACUUCACGACUGUGUAGCAUGAUCUGUGGGCACUUAACUGCUGACUGCCAUCAGAUAUACCAGGCACAGGCCAAAAGAGCAGGGACAUUAGUUUCCACUGUUACUGUCAAGGGUUGUUACAGUGAGGCGGGAUUAAAUAACCAAAACACAACAGAUUUAAACGCAGUACGCAUGGUUAUUUAAUGCAUUUCACGUCUACAUGGCUUUCCUCAGUUCUGACUGAUCAUUCGCUAACUCGCCCUCUUGUUCAAUGAUUCUCUACCAGUGGGCUGGGGGCCACUAGGGGGCCUCAACAAAUUUCCCUGGGGACCUCAAAGAUGACUUAAAAUAUUUUUGUUUAGAAUUGAGGUCCUUGAAGUAGAAAAAGUCGAGAGCCACAACUCUAAUUUCAUACAAACAAGAUGCACGCCAUCUAGUGUCUCAAAUGAUUGUAUUAAAAAACAGCUUAAAGCACUUCAGUAUUAAACAUGCUAGAUGUAUUUAUUUUUUGACUGUAGUAAAGCAUAAAAAUACCGUAAUAUGUUUGCAGAUACUUCAAAAUUCACAUACUUGUUUCUCUGAAAAACAAUGCUGUUACAGGUCGGAAUGCCUGUUGUUGUUUUGGUCUGUGUGAUCCCGCACACUGACAAAUUAUCCAUAAAUAUUUCAACACCCCAUUUUGCCAUUUGCCAAUAUUAAGAUAUUAAGAUAUUAAAGCUGAAUGGUCUUGUGGAAGAACAU
Pimephales promelas (fathead minnow) is the source of this 1156-nucleotide long non-coding RNA. RefSeq lists it as uncharacterized. NCBI's taxonomy places the organism in Eukaryota, Metazoa, Chordata, Actinopteri, Cypriniformes, Leuciscidae. The record is from RefSeq and is a predicted model, not a curated record.